UACGUAGGGUCCGAGCGUUGUCCGGAAUUAUUGGGCGUAAAGGGCUCGUAGGCGGUCUGUUGCGUCGGGAGUGAAAACUUACAGCUUAACUGUGAGCGUGCUUUCGAUACGGGCAGACUUGAGGCAUUCAGGGGAGAACGGAAUUCCUGGUGUAGCGGUGAAAUGCGCAGAUAUCAGGAGGAACACCGGUGGCGAAGGCGGCAUCCUGGACCGGUAUUGACGCUGAGGCGCGAAAGCCAGGGGAGCAAACGGG
Molecule: ribosomal RNA, 253 nt
Filed under: uncultured bacterium
Lineage: Bacteria
Description: partial 16S ribosomal RNA
Rfam family: Bacterial small subunit ribosomal RNA
Source: RNAcentral